Molecule: ribosomal RNA, 301 nt
Filed under: uncultured bacterium
Lineage: Bacteria
Description: partial 16S ribosomal RNA
Rfam family: Bacterial small subunit ribosomal RNA
Source: RNAcentral
CAGUAGCCGCGGGAAUACAGAGGGUGCGAGCGUUAAUCGGAUUUACUGGGCGUAAAGCGUGUGUAGGUUGUUGUUCAAGUCAGUUGUGAAAUCCCUGGGCUCAACCUGGGAACUGCUUCUGAGACUGAACGACUAGAGUACGGUAGAGGGUGGUGGAAUUUCCGGUGUAGCGGUGAAAUGCGUAGAUAUCAGGAGGAACACCUAUGGCGAAGGCAGCUCGCUGGAACGUUACUGACGCUGAGACGCGAAAGCGUGGGGAGCAAACAGGAUUAGAUACCCGUGUAGUCCCUGUCUCUUAUAA